CUCGCCUACAUGGAGCUGGAAUUGCUAGUAAUCACAGGUCAGCAUACUGUGGUGAAUACGUUCCCGGGCCUUGUACACACCGCCCGUCACACCAUGAGAGUUGAGAAUACCCGAAGCCCAUGUCAAAGUGGUCGAAGGUAGGCUUGAUGAUUGGGGUGAAGUCGUAACAAGGUAGC
Molecule: ribosomal RNA, 176 nt
Filed under: uncultured bacterium
Lineage: Bacteria
Description: partial 16S ribosomal RNA
Rfam family: Bacterial small subunit ribosomal RNA
Source: RNAcentral